RNAcentral lists this ribosomal RNA (460 nucleotides) under uncultured bacterium. Its description in RNAcentral is "partial 16S ribosomal RNA". It matches the Rfam family "Bacterial small subunit ribosomal RNA", at positions 338 to 795 of the family's 1533-position model. The record is from RNAcentral.
CCUACGGGAGGCAGCAGUGAGGAAUAUUGGUCAAUGGGCGCGAGCCUGAACCAGCCAAGUAGCGUGAAGGAUGACUGCUCUACGGGUUGUAAACUUCUUUUAUAAAGGAAUAAAGUGAGGCACGUGUGCCUUUUUGUAUGUACUUUAUGAAUACGGAUCGGCUAACGCCGCGCCAGCAGCCGUGGUAAUACGGAGGCUCCGAGCGUUAUCCGGAUUUAUUGGGUUUAAAGGGAGCGUAGAUGGGUUGUUAAGUUAGGUGUGAAAGUUUGCGGCUCAACCGUAAAAUUGCAAUUGAUACUGGCAGCCUUGAGUACAGUUGAGGUAGGCGGAAUUCGUGGUGUAGCGGUGAAAUGCUUAGAUAUCACGAAGAACACCGAUUGCGAAGGCAGCCUACUAGACUGCCACUGACAUUGAUGCUCGAAAGUGUGGGUAUCAAACAGGAUUAGAUACCCGAGUAGUC